CCUCGGGAGGCAGCAGUGGGGAAUAUUGGACAAUGGGCGAAAGCCUGAUCCAGCCAUGCCGCGUGUGUGAAGAAGGCCUUCGGGUUGUAAAGCACUUUCAGUGGGGAAGAAAGCCUUGGGGCUAAUACCCUCGAGGAAGGACAUCACCCACAGAAGAAGCACCGGCUAACUCCGUGCCAGCAGCCGCGGUAAUACGGAGGGUGCGAGCGUUAAUCGGAAUUACUGGGCGUAAAGCGCGCGUAGGCGGUCUGAUAAGCCGGUUGUGAAAGCCCCGGGCUCAACCUGGGAACGGCAUCCGGAACUGUCCGGCUAGAGUGCAGGAGAGGAAGGUAGAAUUCCCGGUGUAGCGGUGAAAUGCGUAGAGAUCGGGAGGAAUACCAGUGGCGAAGGCGGCCUUCUGGACUGACACUGACGCUGAGGUGCGAAAGCGUGGGUAGCAAACAGGAUUAGAUACCCCAGUAGUC
RNAcentral lists this ribosomal RNA (464 nucleotides) under Vreelandella stevensii. Its description in RNAcentral is "partial 16S ribosomal RNA". It matches the Rfam family "Bacterial small subunit ribosomal RNA", at positions 339 to 795 of the family's 1533-position model. Lineage: Bacteria; Pseudomonadati; Pseudomonadota; Gammaproteobacteria; Oceanospirillales; Halomonadaceae. The record is from RNAcentral.